This 3530-nucleotide long non-coding RNA is filed under the name Homo sapiens (human). RNAcentral's name for it is "HSALNT0275660". Lineage: Eukaryota; Metazoa; Chordata; Mammalia; Primates; Hominidae. The record is from RNAcentral.
CCUCUCUGGACUGGCUCUUCCACCUACAGGUGGACUCACCUGGAAAGAGGAACUAUCGUGGCCGAGAGCAGCACCUCCCGCUCAGCAAAGCACUUGGACGCCCCAGGACACUUUACAAAAUGCAGAUGCCCAGGCUGGGCCCCCCAGGUCCUUCUGAUCCAUGAUGGGCCUGAGACCCUCUGGCUAGUCGGUCCAGCCCCAAGCAGACAUCAGGACUCUGUCACAUCUAUCUCCCACCUAUUCCACUCCACCUUUUGCUUUGCAGGUCAUGCUCUGGCCAAAUUAAAUCAAAUAUCAUCAUCGAAGCAAACACGCACUUGAAGCCUCUGUGCCUGCGCUUCCCUGCCUGAGAGAAAGCUCCGCCAGGCCUGGAGGAUGCAGCUGGAUGGCCCACAGGCCCAGCUCAAGUCUCCCAACACCACUGGCAGGGUAAGUCAGCCCUCCUGUGCCCACAGCUCUUGGGCUAGGUCUCCAUUCCAACCCACUCACAUCAUGCCAUCAUCAGCGACUACUUCACCCCCAAAAUAGGACACGAUGGGCUUUGUGUCUGAAUCACUGUUGGUCUUUGCAACAGCUUUCUGUGCCUGACACAUGACAUUCAAUACCUGCUAGCCAAGUAAAAGAAAACCACAUGAACCCUUUUUGUUUUUUCAGUCAUUAUAAAUGUAGCACUGAUGUUUAUAAACAUAGCACCGUAUUAAAAAAGAAAAAAAAGACUCGUAUUGAGACAACUGGGAAAUCUGCUGUGAAAAAAAAUAAAGUUAGACUCCUGCUUCCUAAAUCCCACUAAAACCGAUUCCAGAUCUAGCAAAGGUUUGAGUAGAAACAAUGAAACCAGAAAAUAUUAGGAAAAACAUGUGCUUUUAAAAUAAAUCUCACAAGCCAGGUGUGGUAGCACAUGCCUAUAGUGUCAGCCACUCAGGAGGCUGAGGCAAGAGGAUCGCUUGCUUGAGGCCAGGAAUUCAAGGCUGUUGUGUGCCAUGACUGCACCUGUGGAUAGAACAGCCACUUCACUCCAGCCUAGGUGACAGCAAGACCCUGUCUCAAAAAAAGUAAAAGCAAAAUAAAAUAAUCUCAGCAUAAAGAAAAACUACCACCUAGAUGGGCACAGUGGCUCACGCCUGUAUCCCAGCACUUUGGGAGGCUGAGGUGGGUGGACCACUUGAGGUCAGGAGUUCAAGACCAGCCUGGCCAACAUGGCAAAACCCCAUCUCUAAUAAAAAUACAAAAAUUAGCUGGGUGUGGUGGUGGGUGCCUAUAAUCCCAGCUGCUUGGGAGGCUGAGGCAUGAGAAUCGCUCGAACUCAGGAAGUGGAGGUUGCAGUGAGCCGAGAUCAUGCUAUUGCACUCCAGCUUGUACAACAGAGUGAGACUCCAUCUCAAACAAAAAAAAAAAAAAAAAAAAAAGGGAAAACCACCACGUAAGUACCUUUGUGGUAUCACAUCAUGUCCAACAACACUCGCAGAAGAAACUCAGAACUACAAUGAGCUUGUGCUUAUCACAUAGGGAGAGACUCAAAGUCGUUGCACACACAGCAGAUGAGGGCAUGGGGAAGUUAAAUGGGAACAACCUCUAUGUGCAGCAAUUCAGGGAUCCCUCUCAAAGUCCGAGUGCACAUCCCAGCAAUUCCACUCCUUGGAAUGAACUUAAUAGUCCAGUUAUUUAUUGAGUACCUACUGCAUGCUUGGCCUAGUCCAGGAUGCAGGGAAUACAGCACAAAGCAACACCAGGUCCUUGGGGAGGAUAUGGCUGGGCAGGGGGGCUCAUGGGGCUGAGGGAGGGAGCAGGGGUGUAGAAUGUGGGUCUGCUCUAGGGGUGCUGGGAGGCAGCAGAGGGUUUGCAUAGGUGUGGGAUAAUCUGACUUCAAGUGUUAAAGGGACCUCUCUGGCUGCCACAUAGAAGAGGAUGAAUGGGCCCUGGGUAGCAGUGGUGGAGGAUGCGAGGGAAGUCAGAAUCCAGGCAGACCUGGGAUGGCGGGACAUGGGAGGGGGAGGGGAAGGUGAGUCAAGAAUGACCUGAGGCAGAGCUGGGCAUGGGCUCACACCUGCCAUGGGCUCACACCUAUAAUCCUAGUGCUUUGGGAGGCGAAGGCAAGAGGACCACUUGAGGCCAGGAGUUUGAGAAGAGCCUGAUUAACACAAUGAGACCUCAUCUUUACAAAAAAGCAAAAGGAACAACCCAUGGCUUUGGCUUAGGCAUGACAGGAAGGGACUGGCAGUCUGAUGUGGGACUUCAGGUGUGUUAAACGGGACCUGCCCAUUGGACAGCCUGGGUGGCCUGGAGGAGGUGGCAGCAAUGUGGAAGGAGCCCAGGCUGGGGGUCGGGAGAUGAGGAGCUAGCAGGGUGAGUCAGGAGGGGUAAGGUCCUGAAAGCCACAGGAAAGAGCACUUCAGGGCAGUUAUCACCAUGUGGGGGACACUGACAGGCCAGGCGAGAUGGCAGCUGAGACCUGACUGUAGGGUCUGGCAAACAGAGCCCUGGGUAAUCCUGAUGGGGCCAUGUGGUGAGUGACAGAUGAAAGCUGCAUGGGGUGAGCUCAACAAAACCUGGGAGAUGGGAGAAGGCUGGUGCACUGUCCCCUCUUGUUUCAGGAUGGUGGCUGUGCCAGCAUGUUCUCCGCUGAUGGGACUGCUCUGGCGAGAAGGAAAAGAGAAGCUGCGUGCCGGAGGGGAAGGAACUGCUGCAGUGAUGGCCUUGGGAGGGUGAGGGGCAAGAGAGGCAGCCGGUCAGCAUCCAGGCGAUGCAGAGCUGCCACAAGGCUGCACUUCUCUUGGUGGAGGAGGAGGCAUGGUACGGCUGUCCACUGAGGGAGGACAGGUGGUGAUGCUGCGGGCAGGCCCACAGCAGAGGAAGCACUGGAUUUAGUUAGAUGGGAGAGUCCAGGUGAGUAGGAGGGAGAGGGAGUGGGUCAGGGUUCGAGGGGAGAGAUUACAAGGACAGAACCUGACUCUGAGUUGGGUGAAGAGGGAGGUGAGGGUUGGGGAGGGUCCACAGAGGGUGUGCUCUGUGGGGUCCAGGAAGUGAGGCACAAGAGCAGGAAGUGGGAGUCAAAGAAGCAACUCCCAGAGGGUGGGAGGCUCAAACAGGAAUUACAGAGGGGCCUGGGUGGUGGCAUGCUGACCCAGGGAGGGCAAGGGCUGUGAGACAGGUAGAGAGUGAAGUCACCUGGGGAGACUCACAGGAGUCAGUGGUGGGCCCUGACAAGACUGUCCAUGUGGACUCUGAGUCCCCAGGAGGUAGGACAGGGCAGCGCUGGAGUGGCCUCAGGCUGGGCACGGUGGUGCCUGUGAUGAACCACAUCACUGGGGAGUUCUCUGCAGCAUUAUCAAUCAUGAUAAAAGGUUAGAAACAAGCUGGUGUCUGUCAACAGGGAGGUGGUUAAAUAAAAGCAUGGCAUUCUCUGGCCGGGCGCGGUGGCUCACGCCUGUAAUCCCAGCACUUUGGGAGGCCAAGGUGGGCAGAUCACGAGGUCAGGAGAUCAAGACCAUCCUGACUAACGUGGUGAAACCCCGUCUCUACUAAAAAUACUA